Non-coding RNA from Camellia sinensis, 2591 nucleotides. The record is from RefSeq and is a predicted model, not a curated record. Lineage: Eukaryota; Viridiplantae; Streptophyta; Magnoliopsida; Ericales; Theaceae.
CUACUCUAUUAGUUUGAAAUACUUGAGUUUUUGCAUAGAAGUAGAGACUUUAACAUAAGGAAAAUGUUAAACAUAGCCCUCAGAAUUGCGAUUAAUAUUUUAAAAAUCUAAAAAAAUGUAUAAAAAUAUUUUAAAUUUAUAAAUAUUUUGACAUUUUAUAUUUAUGGAAGAUGUACUCUUUGUUUGUCCAUUAGACCAUCCUAAGGGAUAGUUAAAAAAGGCUUGUUAGGAAUUUUAGCCAAUGUAAUUCUAAUUUUGAGCUCUAAUGGGUUAGCUAUUAGGUUAGCAACUUACAGCAUCUCCAGCAGCUUGGCUAUUCUUUCCCUUUAGCCAUAGAAGCGAGCUUGGAAGCGUAAAACAUUGCUCCAGCAGACUCGCUCAAGGAUCGCUAGAAUGGUGGUGAGCUACAGUACCUCGCCAGGACAAGCGAGGUACUGUUCAUGAGCCUUUCAAUUUUUUAUUUAUUUUUGCCUCCUAAAUUCUGUUUUUGGCGGUAAAAUUUUUCCCUCUUUUUGGUGCUAAAAUUCUGUCAGUACCUCCCCAAACAAAUCUAUAGAGAAGGCAUUCCAAAACUCAAACUCUCUCAUCCUCUCUAUCUUUUUCUCAACCUUUCUGCUCAAGGGAGGUAAAGUUUUGUCAUUUACGUUUGUUUAUGCCAUGAAUAGUGGAUAAGAAAUUGGAGAAUAUGAAAGCAAAUGUUCAAAUUAUUGCAUUCUUAUUUCAUUAUUUGUUGAUUUUGGCAAAAGUAUUACACAUUGCCUUGUCAUUUGUUCAGAUUAUGUGAAUAUAUAUUUUCUCCUUUGCUUUGUGGCUUCCAUGGUUUUUAAUCUCAUCUCAGAAAUUGUUGUAGCAAGUUAUGGCUCCAAGUUCUUAAUCAAUAGGUCAUUAUUUUACUACCUGUAAAAGAGAAACCAGUUUGUAUUUAUAUUGCACACCAUAUGUUUGUUGUAAUUUCUGUUAGAAUAAAGAUUGUAAAUUGUAUCCAAUUAUUUCUUGUAUUAGUUCUUCUAUCAUAUUUGACAAGAAUAUUCAUUAAUAUCCAAUUUUGAUUGAUUGUUUCAUGAAAACAAGGCCUAGGAUAUUUCAAUAUAACAACACUCAACACUCCCUAUCCUCCAAAGCCUUCAAAUGUACUGGAUCUCCCUAUCCUCCAAAGCUGUCUAAAACAGAGGAUUCCACACCACUAUUAAAUCAUUUGAAUUGUGCUGUUCAACCACCGGUAUGGAUUCACAACAAGAUGGUUACUUUACCAAUCUUUUACAAGAAAGGCCCAACAUUGAUGAACAUUAUCUAAUGGAAUCUUAAUAUUUGAAUCAAAACACUCAAGUCUUCGCCCAAGAGUCUCAAUUUACUGCUGAAAUUGAAUCUUUGUCGAAGAAACCUCAACGUGGAGGAAACUUCACAAUUGAAGAAGACAAACUCCUUGUAUCGGCUUGGCUUAAUAUUAGUUUAGAUGCGGUACAUGGGAAUGAGCAAAAACGCUCUACCUAUUGGAAAAGAGUGUGGGAUUUUUUCCAUGAGCACAAGAAAUUUGAGUCUAAUCGAAAUGAGAAUUUUCUUAUAAAUCGAUGGUCAACCAUUCAGCUUGCCAUGAAUAAGCUUUGUGGGUGCUACGCCCAAAUUGAAUCAUUGCAUUAAAGUGGCAUAAAUGAGGAUGACAAGAUUUGCAAGGCGAAAAUUAUGUACAAGGAACUCAAGAAAUCUACAUUCCAAUUCGAAUACUGUUGGAUUAUGUUAAGGGAUCAACCAAAAUGGGUGGUAGAGUCUGAGAAGAAAAAAUAACCAAAAAGACCAAGAACAAGGACAAUCUCUUCUCCUUGUACUCCGGAUUCAAUAAAUCUAGGGGAAGACGAUGUCUCACCUAAUGAUUUUGUAGACUUGGAGAGACUAACCGGUAGGAACGCUGAAAAGGAGCGAUUGAAUAAACCAAAGAACAAAGAAAGCGUAAAUUCGAGUAUUACAAAAACUUUGGAGGACAUCAAGCAAGACAAAAAGAAAAUGAUUGACAAGAAAAUUGAAAUGAUUGACAAAGUGUACGUUCAAAAAGAAGUGGAACUUCGUAUCAUGCAAGAAAAACAUGAGGUGGAACUUCAAAAGCAUGAAAUGGAACUUUUCAAAGAGGACGAAAGAGUUAUUUUGAUGGAUCUCAGUGGCUUGCCGGAAAUCCAACAAGAUUUUUAUCGUGCUCGGCAGAUGGAAAUCAUUAAGAAAAGAAGAACGAAUUAGUAUUCAUUCUUUCUUUGCUCUUUAUGAUAUUUUGGCUUUUGUCUAGUAGGCUAGAAACUUGGUAUAUGAUAUUUUGGCUUUUGCUUUUGGCUCUACUUUUGUCUAGGAUAGAUGUUGAACUCAGCAAUGUUUUGGUACACAAUGUUAGUUGUCUAAUCUGAUGCUUUUUGUGCUGUGUUGUUCUACUGCUUUUUGUGUUGUGUUGCUGCCAUUUUUGGCCUGUUUUCUAAUCUAUUUUUGUUGCUAUUUUGCUGGUGUUUUUGGGCUGUUUUGAUGGCAUUUUUGGGCUGUUUUGCUGCUGUUUAAUGUAAGUACUAAUAUUUACUUGUUCUUAGAUUUUGAAUCCAAAAAUAGGUUGUGGUUGA